UGGGGAAUAUUGGACAAUGGAGGAAACUCUGAUCCAGCAAUUCUGUGUGUGUGAAGAAGGUUUUAGGACUGUAAAACACUUUUAGUAGGGAAGAAAAAAAUGACGGUACCUACAGAAGAAGCAACGGCUAAAUACGUGCCAGCAGCCGCGGUAAUACGUAUGUUGCGAGCAUUAUCCGGAAUUAUUGGGCUUAAAGGGCAUCUAGGCGGUAAGACAAGUUGAAGGUGAAAACCUGUGGCUCAACCAUAGGCUUGCCUACAAAACUGUUGAACUAGAGUACUGGAAAGGUGGGUGGAACUACACGAGUAGAGGUGAAAUUCGUAGAUAUGUGUAGGAAUGCCGAUGAUGAAGAUAACUCACUGGACAGAAACUGACGCUGAAGUGCGAAAGCUAGGGGAGCAAACAGG
RNAcentral lists this ribosomal RNA (407 nucleotides) under Verrucomicrobiota bacterium. Its description in RNAcentral is "Verrucomicrobia bacterium partial 16S ribosomal RNA". It matches the Rfam family "Bacterial small subunit ribosomal RNA", at positions 355 to 776 of the family's 1533-position model. The record is from RNAcentral. Lineage: Bacteria; Pseudomonadati; Verrucomicrobiota.